UACGUAGGGUGCGAGCGUUAAUCGGAAUUACUGGGCGUAAAGGGUGCGUAGGCGGAUUUUUAAGUCAGGGGUGAAAUCCCAAGGCUCAACCUUGGAACUGCCUUUGAUACUGGGGAUCUUGAGUCCGGGAGAGGUGAGUGGAACUGCGAGUGUAGAGGUGAAAUUCGUAGAUAUUCGCAAGAACACCAGUGGCGAAGGCGGCUCACUGGCCCGGAACUGACGCUGAGGCACGAAAGCGUGGGGAGCAAACAGG
Molecule: ribosomal RNA, 253 nt
Filed under: uncultured bacterium
Lineage: Bacteria
Description: partial 16S ribosomal RNA
Rfam family: Bacterial small subunit ribosomal RNA
Source: RNAcentral